GAAAUGCGAUAAGUAAUGCGAAUUGCAGAAUUUCCGUGAGUCAUCGAAUCUUUGAACGCACAUUGCGCCCCUUGGUAUUCCGAUGGGCAUGCCUGUUCGAGCGUCAUUAUCUUCCCUCAAACCUCGGGUUUGGUGUUGGGCCGUGCUGGUUCCGUCGUGACCAACUGGCCUCAAAGACAAUGGCGGCGUCCGUGGGACCCUCGGUGCAACGAGCUUUCUCAGGAGCACGCGUCGAGUUCAAGGACCUUCCGGGCCGGUCUCUCUUGUUAUCACAAAAGGUUGACCUCGGAUCAGGUAGGGAUACCCGCUGAACUUAAGC
RNAcentral lists this unclassified non-coding RNA (319 nucleotides) under plant metagenome. RNAcentral describes it as "partial contains 5.8S ribosomal RNA, internal transcribed spacer 2, and large subunit ribosomal RNA". The stretch from base 1 to 106 matches the Rfam family "5.8S ribosomal RNA", at positions 50 to 154 of the family's 154-position model. The record is from RNAcentral.